AGAAACCAACAGGGAUUGCCUCAGUAACGGCGAGUGAAGCGGCAAAAGCUCAAAUUUGAAAUCUGGCUCUUUCAGGGUCCGAGUUGUAAUUUGUAGAAGAUGCUUUGGGUGUGGCUCUGGUUUAAGUUCUUUGGAAUAUUACAUCAUAGAGGGUGAGAAUCCCGUAUGUGACCAGUCGCCGCGCCCGUGUAAAGCUCUUUCAACGAGUCGAGUUGUUUGGGAAUGCAGCUCAAAAUGGGAGGUAUAUUUCUUCUAAAGCUAAAUAUUGGCCAGAGACCGAUAGCGCACAAGUAGAGUGAUCGAAAGAUGAAAAGCACUUUGGAAAGAGAGUUAAACAGUACGUGAAAUUGUUGAAAGGGAAGCGCUUGCAACCAGACUUGCACGCAGUUGAUCAUCCGGUGUUCUCACCGGGGCACUCUGCUGCGUUCAGGCCAGCAUCGGUUUUGGUGGUUGGAUAAAGGCCUUGGGAAUGUAGCUUCUUUCGGGGAGUGUUAUAGCCCUUGGUGCAAUGCAGCCUACCGGGACCGAGGACCGCGCUUCGGCUAGGAUGC
This 551-nucleotide ribosomal RNA is filed under the name Tricellula curvata. RNAcentral's name for it is "partial large subunit ribosomal RNA". It matches the Rfam family "Eukaryotic large subunit ribosomal RNA", at positions 60 to 626 of the family's 3401-position model. Lineage: Eukaryota; Fungi; Ascomycota; Leotiomycetes; Helotiales; Calloriaceae. The record is from RNAcentral.